RNAcentral lists this long non-coding RNA (736 nucleotides) under Homo sapiens (human). RNAcentral describes it as "non-protein coding lnc-RTP4-7:1". The record is from RNAcentral. Lineage: Eukaryota; Metazoa; Chordata; Mammalia; Primates; Hominidae.
AAUUUGCUAUUCGGUGACAUAAGAGGGGGAGUGCGCUUUGCUUUCCCGGGGUCUGGGGCUAAUUCCUUCUUUCUUACCCAUAAACUCAGCAGAUCGAGCUAAAUGCACAAAAGGGAGCGAGAGGUUUGAACCACUGGGAAAAGUAUGUUAUAUAUAUAGUAGGGUUAGAGAGGCGAGUAAGAGAAAAAUAAAAUAAAAUAAACAUCACAGCUCUUUCCAACUAGAAUAUUAGGCACCACGAGAAAAAUAUUUGCCAAGCAGUUUUCGGUGGGUUCAUUUGCUUUAUUUUUAUUUAGGACAGGGGUUUUUGCUGUUGUUCUGGGUUUUUUUCUUUCUGGUGUGGUGGCUUGGGAUUUUUGGUUUCUGUAUUUUGAUGGUUUAUGGAUUUUUGCUUCUGAUUUUUUGCCUUUUGCAAGUUUGUGGUGUUACGUAAAUCACAGGAUCGGCAUCGGUUGGAUUUUUUUGUACGUGCCUUUUCUUUCCCUAUCUAAUCCCUCAAGCGUUUUAAAGAUGUAUUAUUUCAAUACUAAUACUAUUGAAAGAAGCUUAAAUUUUUGGCCAUAUGUAACAAUCCCAGCCCCCACUUUUUUUUUUUUUUUUUCCUUUGGUGCAAUUUUCUUUUUCCCCCUUGGACUUUUGCUGAAGUGUGUCUCUCCUGCACUUCAGAGAAAUGUUCAAAGGAUUUGUUUUGGUUUGGUUUGUUUCUUUCCAGGACAGCAAGUGGUGGGUUUAAUCU